Lolium rigidum is the source of this 2429-nucleotide long non-coding RNA. RefSeq lists it as uncharacterized. The transcript has 8 exons. Lineage: Eukaryota; Viridiplantae; Streptophyta; Magnoliopsida; Poales; Poaceae. The record is from RefSeq and is a predicted model, not a curated record.
CUCUCACGAGCGCGAGUCUCACAGCCAUGGCGCUUCCGAGUACUGCUACGGAGGAGGCCUGUAAGAGCCGGUGCUGCGGCGACUCGCUGGUGGCGGAUCUUCAUAAAGGGAGGACGAGGGAGGCCUCGGUAGGGGCUACUCAUCAGGCUACAGGGGCAGCAUGCCGUGUGCGGAGACUCUCCUCCACAGCUUCUCAGUCGCUUCAGUGGGAUCCCCGAGAAAGAAAGAAUAUGAAGGACCUAGAGGAAGCGUUUGAUGAUUGAGGAGCCAAGCCCACAAGACCAACAAAUUCAAGCCAGGUUUACGACACCAAGAGGUCUACCUAGAAGGGGUGCUCAACUCGCACCUAGGAACAUCAAGAAGCAGAACUGGUUCAUGAAUCAUAUGAAGACAUGUAUCCAGGCAAGAUCAAGGACAAGACUAUUUGGCGAGGAGACACCGCCUUUCCUUGCGGCUUUGGGCACUUUUGUAGUCACACAAGUUGCCGCCCUGCACCGAUUUGAGGUUAUUUGUUGCAACAGCAAGACAAGCAAGAACACAGCCUCCAAAUGUUGGUCUUUAUUUGUGGUCCAAUAUGCGUACGACACCAGAACAGGUGCAUAAGUUUUGUCAAGAUACCAGCAGGAUUGGCUGGGUAGGUUCUGAUGGAGUCAUGGAAUAUGUAACAACAUUGACCGUAAGCUCCGCUAUGGGAAUUUAUUGCCACAACUGGUUCAACUUUAACCUUGACUAAUCCUCCUUAUUAUCAUCUCUUCUCAUCAAGUCCAGGCUAUGUUUCGCAAUGUAGUAGGCCUAUUAUAUGUAUGGUCUCCUUGAUUUGGUGAGUUACCUUUUACUUGGUUAAUUGUAGUUCGAUGGUCUGGGAGAUACUUAUAUGUACUCUGGAACUCUCUCUGCACGUGUUUUUUCAGAAAUUUUAUCAACAUCUUUGCGGGAAGCAUGGAAGUAUCAUAUUAUUUUUUAACUCAUUUUCUUAUAUGACUUCUCUCAACUGAUUAAAGCUGAAUUACUUGCUCUUGUAUUGUAUUUAACCACUUAAUUGGUAUUUUUGCUGCAUGGAUUUGUCCCAAAAGCUGAUUUCUCAUUAUCUCCAUUUUGAUUCAAUGCUAUCAAGGAUUCUAAGAAAACUAGAGCCAGAUAUGUAUGAGUGCAUAAUUACACGGGUACCAACCAGUCAUACUCUAAUGCAUUCUUGAGGAAACCCCCAGAGUUGAUCUUCCAUAUCGGUAUAAAAGCUAAGAUGCUAAAUGAUAAGAUCUAUAUUUGUUCAGAUGCCUGUUCUUAAAGUUACCCUCCACAUAGUAGUGUCAUCUCCGCCGAUAAUCAGGUGCUGGUAUUGUUUGACAAUCAUAUAAUUUAUCCAAUUGUGCAUCAGGCUGUAGGCUAAUUUUGUACAUGGUAUGCCUCAAAGUGAAUAUCACCAUAUAACUCUGUUGAUAAUAAUACAGUUGUUUUCUGCAGUUUACAUUAGAGCUUUCAUAUUGAAUAGAUCAUUGAUGUUGGUUUCAGGUUUCUCGACCGCUGUAUUAAUUGAUUUUCUAUGAUGUCAAUUGUUAUAGUGAUCAAUUUAUUUGCUGUGAUGCGAUAUCUGAAUAAUCUUCUAUCUUUCACAAGUAGAAAUUGAUAUGCCACUUUAUUUGGAUUUUUUCUCAUGUGUAGUACACAAUAGUGCAGGUAUUUGUUUGUACUGAAACUUUAUUUUUUGUAGGAUCAAAUGAUAUGAAACAACACAGUUAUGGUGAUCCCUAGAGCCUUAAUUGUGAGCAUACUUCCACGUCAAAAAUCAGAUAUGGCUAGCUGUGACUGCAUGAAACAUCAUUCGUUAAAUCAUGCGGGUAAAUGUAAUUUAUUGGAUUUCUUUUAGCAAGACGCGGCUGGUUGUGGGGUUUGAGAUGAUUUUUAUAUCAAAAUGCACAAGAGAGCAAUCAGCUUAGUUUAGCUUGCCGGAUUUGCUCCAGUGAAGUUCUGCAGUACCAUCAUCACCAGAUUCUCAAGCUACUGAAAAGAGAUAUCUCAUACAUGCCACAUGGAAUCCUAAUCAGUGAGGACACCUAAUGUUUGGACCUGAUGAUGGUUCUAUGCGCGAACAACUUCAGUGGCACAUGUGAUGUUAUUUUGAUCUAAGGUUCCACCCGAAGUGCAAAAUCUGUCUUAUCAUGGAAAAGGGCUAUCUCUAACCGAUCAACACAUGUUACAGGUAAUGAUGUUAUAUUGGUUCGGUGCAGAGCUUUCUUGUUUGAGGUUGGAGCAGGAGCCUCUUGUGCCCUGGAACGUUAAAUGCAUGUUUUUUUCUCCUUUAGAUUUAUUCAUCGAGUGUACCCACAUGGUAUGCCAUAAUAAGGAUUGGCUUUUACUUCAAUGUUGCAAAAUUACUAAAUAUUUGUACUACCUAUUAAGAUCUGUUUAUAUAUAAAGAAGUAUGGAUCAAA